AACGAACGCUGGCGGCAGGCCUAACACAUGCAAGUCGAGCGCGCAGCAAUGCGAGCGGCGGACGGGUUAGUAACGCGUGGGAACGUACCCUUUUCUACGGAAUAGCCUCGGGAAACUGAGAGUAAUACCGUAUACGCCCUUAGGGGGAAAGAUUUAUCGGAGAAGGAUCGGCCCGCGUCUGAUUAGGUAGUUGGUGGGGUAAUGGCCCACCAAGCCUACGAUCAGUAGCUGGUUUGAGAGGAUGAUCAGCAACACUGGGACUGAGACACGGCCCAGACUCCUACGGGAGGCAGCAGUGGGGAAUCUUAGACAAUGGGGGCAACCCUGAUCUAGCCAUGCCGCGUGAGUGAUGAAGGCCUUAGGGUCGUAAAGCUCUUUCGCCGGGGAAGAUAAUGACGGUACCCGGUAAAGAAACCCCGGCUAACUCCGUG
Molecule: ribosomal RNA, 431 nt
Filed under: uncultured organism
Description: bacterial SSU rRNA
Rfam family: Bacterial small subunit ribosomal RNA
Source: RNAcentral